This 62-nucleotide transfer RNA is filed under the name Brachytarsina amboinensis. RNAcentral's name for it is "tRNA-Gly". Lineage: Eukaryota; Metazoa; Arthropoda; Insecta; Diptera; Streblidae. The record is from RNAcentral.
AUCUAUAUAAUAUAAAAAGUAUAUUAAACUUCCAAUUUAAAAGUCUAUUAAUAGUAUAGGUA